CCUACGGGAGGCAGCAGCAGUGGGGAAUUUUGGACAAUGGGCGAAAGCCUGAUCCAGCAAUGCCGCGUGUGGGAAGAAGGCCUUCGGGUUGUAAACCACUUUUGUACGGAACGAAAAGGUCUGCCCUAAUACGGUGGGCCCAUGACGGUACCGUAAGAAUAAGCACCGGCUAACUACGUGCCAGCAGCCGCGGUAAUACGUAGGGUGCGAGCGUUAAUCGGAAUUACUGGGCGUAAAGCGUGCGCAGGCGGUUAUAUAAGACAGUUGUGAAAUCCCCGGGCUCAACCUGGGAAUUGCAUCUGUGACUGUAUAGCUAGAGUACGGUAGAGGGGGAUGGAAUUCCGCGUGUAGCAGUGAAAUGCGUAGAUAUGCGGAGGAACACCGAUGGCGAAGGCAAUCCCCUGGACCUGUACUGACGCUCAUGCACGAAAGCGUGGGGAGCAAACAGGAUUAGAUACCCUGGUAGUCCACGCCCUAAACGAUGUCAACUGGUUGUUGGGUGCAUUAGUACUCAGUAACGAAGCUAACGCGUGAAGUUGACCGCCUGGGGAGUACGGCCGCAAGGUUGAAACUCAAAUGAAUUGACGG
Molecule: ribosomal RNA, 588 nt
Filed under: uncultured beta proteobacterium
Lineage: Bacteria; Pseudomonadati; Pseudomonadota; Betaproteobacteria
Description: bacterial SSU rRNA
Rfam family: Bacterial small subunit ribosomal RNA
Source: RNAcentral